CAGGGAGACAACAAAAUGUUAAAUAUUAAUUUUGUCACCUUAGGUCGAUCGGUAUCUCACAUUCUUAAUUUAUUUAAGAAUUUUAUUUCCUAAGUUUUUCUAGGUCACACCCAUUAUUUUCCUGGGCCAUUAGCUCAGGUGGUUAGAGCGCACCCCUGAUAAGGGUGAGGUCCCUGGUUCAAGUCCAGGAUGGCCCAUAUCUCUAUGUUGGGGGUAUAGCUCAGUUGGUAGAGCGCCUGCUUUGCAAGCAGGAUGUCAGCGGUUCGAGUCCGCUUACCUCCACUGAUUACCACCUCUUUCAUAUAUAGAAGGGAAAUUUUUUAAGGUGUGAUCAAAUUCUGAACGAAUCUAGCUUCCUGAUAACCAAAUUAAGAUGCUGGAUUCAUUGAAUUAAUUUCAUUGUUUUCAGAGAACCUUGACAACUGCAUAGAUUAUUUUUAAAGACAAUAAGCAUUUUUAUAAUGCAGAUUUAUUAUUUGUGCAAAUGCAUUAAAUAACAAUUCUAUUAAGCUGAUGCUUCAAAUUUUUGAAGUUAUU
This 537-nucleotide transfer RNA is filed under the name uncultured cyanobacterium. Its description in RNAcentral is "partial contains 16S ribosomal RNA, 16S-23S ribosomal RNA intergenic spacer, and 23S ribosomal RNA". The stretch from base 210 to 282 matches the Rfam family "tRNA". The record is from RNAcentral. Lineage: Bacteria; Bacillati; Cyanobacteriota.